RNAcentral lists this ribosomal RNA (468 nucleotides) under uncultured bacterium. Its description in RNAcentral is "partial 16S ribosomal RNA". It matches the Rfam family "Bacterial small subunit ribosomal RNA", at positions 28 to 507 of the family's 1533-position model. The record is from RNAcentral.
GACGAACGCUGGCGGCGUGCUUAACACAUGCAAGUCGAACGGAAAGGCCCUGCUUUUGUGGGGUGCUCGAGUGGCGAACGGGUGAGUAACACGUGAGUAACCUGCCCUUUACUUUAGGAUAACUUCAGGAAACUGGGGCUAAUACCGGAUAGGAGCUCCUGCUGCAUGGUGGUGGUUGGAAAGUUUCGGCGGUUGGGGUUGGACUCGCGGCUUAUCAGCUUGUUGGUGGGGUAGUGGCUUACCAAGGCUUUGACGGGUAGCCGGCCUGAGAGGGUGACCGGCCACAGUGGGACUGAGAUACGGCCCAGACUCCUACGGGAGGAAGAAGUGGGGAAUAUUGCAAAAUGGGCGGAAGCCUGAUGCAGCAACGCCGCGUGCGGGAUGACGGCCGUAGGGUUGGAAACCGCUUUCGCCUGUGACGAAGCGUGAGUGACGGUAAUGGGUAAAGAAGCACCGGCUAACUACGUG